Molecule: long non-coding RNA, 2787 nt
Filed under: Medicago truncatula (barrel medic)
Lineage: Eukaryota; Viridiplantae; Streptophyta; Magnoliopsida; Fabales; Fabaceae
Description: long non-coding RNA (MTRU_LNC000311)
Source: RNAcentral
AAAAAUCUACAAAUUAAGGAGUAACACUUUUGCGAAGUCACGUUCUUUCAAAGGGAAUGUUGUUAUGCGCCAAUUGGUUUGUGAUAGAUUUUCCACAGUAGGGGUAGCGGCAUUGACAUCAAACACCACAACUUGUUAGCGCAUGUAGUUCAUAGAGCCUCUUCAAUUUCAUCCAAAGAUCUUUCUAACAUUCUUUGUGUUGAGAUUGUCUUCAAAUUUGUGGUUUGGAAGAACAGGGAAAUCAUGACACGAUUUUGGUAUCGUGACGCGAUUUCGGAUGCCGUGAGUUAGGGUUGCAGGGGUGCAAAUCGUGGCACGAUUUUGGGAAAAUCGUGACACGAUCAAGAAACUUGCUCGUUAAAUAUCCUUGAUAAGGACUGGUCGUUCCUUGGGACGGACGCAAAUCGUGACACGAUUGGAACAGAGGAAGACUAGUACUUAAGUGUUCUUGUGCAGAUUUGAAGUAAAAGAGGUUGGAAGAGAGAGACUUGGGAAAUCAAAGGGAAAGCUCUAGGGUUUAGGGUUCUUUGAUUAGAGUACCUCUUGGGUUGAAAACAUGGGAAACACCUUGUAGAGAGAAUCAUUGAGUGUCUUGGUGAGAUUGGGAAAGGGGUAGAAAUUAGGGUUUGUUCAUAGUGAACAUUGUCAAGCUAAUUUCUUGUAACCUCUUGUAGUCCUUUUGUAAAGAACUCAUUUGAUAGUGGAUUGGAGAGUACAAACUCUCCUCCAGAGUAGGUCAAGUUUGGACCAAACUGGGUGACCAAUCUCUUUGUGUUUAUUGUUUUCAUCUUCCCUCUCCUUGUUUAUCUUGUGAUUGUUGCUUUGUUUCACACUUGUUUCCUAGAUUGGAUCUAGGUGGUGUUUUGUUGUUUCUUGCUUGCUCAAUAAGCUUUGAUUGGUGGUUACCACUCUCCGUCACUCCACACAUCAUUAUUCUCUGUAUUGGUGUGGUUCGAUCCGGGUCUUGGAGGUCCGGGGAUUCACAACAAUUGGCGCCCACCGUGGGGCAAGGGUAGUGAUUUGGUUUAGUGUGUACCAUGGGUUCAAAGUGGGAUAUUGAGAUGUUCACCGGGAUCAACGAUUUUGGGUUGUGGAAGGUGAAGAUGCAAGCGGUGUUGAUUCAACAAAAGUGUGAGAAAGCUUUGAAGGGUGAAGGUGGUUUGCCGGACACCAUGUCACAAGAGGAGAAGACCGAGAUGGUGGACAAGGCGAGGAGCGCCAUUGUCUUGUGCCUCGGGGAUAAAGUUUUGAGGGAUGUCGCGAAGGAACCAACCGCGGCAUCGAUAUGGUCUAAGUUGGAAUCAUUGUAUAUGACCAAGUCGUUGGCUCAUAGGCAAUUCCUUAAGCAACAACUCUACUCAUUCAAGAUGGUGGAGUCAAAGACCGUGAUGGAGCAAUUGGCGGAGUUCAACAAGAUCCUUGACGAUUUGGAGAACAUUGAGGUGCAACUUGAGGACGAAGACAAGGCUAUACUCUUGUUGUGCGCACUACCGAGGUCAUUUGAAUCCUUUAAGGAUACCAUGCUCUAUGGCAAAGAAGGCACUGUCACCUUGGAAGAAGUUCAAGCGGCUUUAAGAACCAAGGAGUUGACCAAGUCCAAAGACUUGAGAGCGGAUGAAAACAGUGAAGGCCUUAGUGUGUCAAAAGGAAAUGGUGGAGGUAGAGGCAGCCGGGGAAGCUCAAAGAGCGGAAACAAGGACAAGUAUAAGUGCUUUAAGUGUCACAAGUUGGGACACUUCAAGAGGGAUUGUCCGGAGGAAGAUGAUAGCUCCGCGCAAGUUGUGUCCGAGGAGUAUGGAGAUGCGGGUGCUUUGAUGGUGAGUUGGGAGGAAGGUGAAGGUGAGGGUUCUCACCUUGGUAUUGAUUCCUUGUAGACGGAGUGGUUCGUCUGGAGAGACGUUAAACACUCAACGUCAGCCUGGAGAGGCGGUGGUGAGAAUACUCAUGGUUAGUCUGGAGAGGCGGUGGUAACAAUACUCGUGAUCAACCUUUGAGGUGGAGUGGCAAGGCGGAAGCAUAGUGGAAGUACCCAUUUGGAAGUUGAGGUAGAGAAAGCUCAACUUGAGGUGGAGUUGGUGACUCCAAGAAUGGUACGGCUAUGGAGGCUUUGGGAGUUUAUGCUCUAGUGGUGAGCAUGUGGAUUCUUCAUGAGGACAGAUGGUAUUCCGGGGUUUGAAGAAUGUAUGGAGUGGCUUGUGUGAUUGCCUAAAAGGCCAAGGGUGAUCGGAUGCAAGGUGAUCUUCAAGGAGGCGGGAGACGUUCCGUGGUUGAAGAUGGUUUGGUGAAAAAUGAAGACUUGUGGAGCAACUUGGUGUAGAGUUGGAUGCAAGGGAAAAGAAGGGGGUGGUUGAUGGUUAAAGUGGCAUCAUCACCAAAUUAGAAGUCAAGGUGGAGAAAUGUUGAGAUUGUCUUUAAAUUUGUGGUUUGGAAGAACAGGGAAAUCGUGACACGAUUUUGGUAUCGUGACGCGAUUUAGGAUGCCGUGAGUUAGGGUUGCAGGGGUGCAAAUCGUGGCACGAUUUUGGGAAAAUCAUGACACGAUCAAGAAACUUGCUCGUUAAGUAUCCUUGAUAAGGACUGGUCGUUCCUUGGGACGGACGCAAAUCGUGACACGAUUGGGAAAAUCGUGACACGAUUGGAACAGAGGAAGACUAGUACUUAAGUGUUCUUGUGCAGAUUUGAAGUAAAAGAGGUUGGAAGAGAGAGACUUGGGAAAUCAAAGGGAAAGCUCUAGGGUUUAGGGUUCUUUGAUUAGAGUACCUCUUGGGUUGAAAACAUGGGAAACAC